ACCUGGCUGGCUCAGUUAGAAGAGCACACGGUGACUCUUGAUCUUGGUGUUAUGGGUUCGAGCCCCAUGUUGGGUG
RNAcentral lists this transfer RNA (76 nucleotides) under Felis catus (domestic cat). It matches the Rfam family "tRNA". Rfam says of the family: Transfer RNA (tRNA) molecules are approximately 80 nucleotides in length. Their secondary structure includes four short double-helical elements and three loops (D, anti-codon, and T loops). Further hydrogen bonds mediate the characteristic L-shaped molecular structure. tRNAs have two regions of fundamental functional importance: the anti-codon, which is responsible for specific mRNA codon recognition, and the 3' end, to which the tRNAs corresponding amino acid is attached (by aminoacyl-tRNA synthetases). tRNAs cope with the degeneracy of the genetic code in two manners: having more than one tRNA (with a specific anti-codon) for a particular amino acid; and 'wobble' base-pairing, i.e. permitting non-standard base-pairing at the 3rd anti-codon position. RNAcentral also lists the same sequence under 3 other names. The record is from Rfam by way of RNAcentral. Lineage: Eukaryota; Metazoa; Chordata; Mammalia; Carnivora; Felidae.